CCUACGGGAGGCAGCAGUAGGGAAUCUUCCGCAAUGGACGAAAGUCUGACGGAGCAACGCCGCGUGAGUGAUGAAGGUUUUCGGAUCGUAAAGCUCUGUUGUUAGGGAAGAACAAGUGCAAGAGUAACUGCUUGCACCUUGACGGUACCUAACCAGAAAGCCACGGCUAACUACGUGCCAGCAGCCGCGGUAA
RNAcentral lists this ribosomal RNA (193 nucleotides) under uncultured Bacillus sp. RNAcentral describes it as "partial 16S ribosomal RNA". It matches the Rfam family "Bacterial small subunit ribosomal RNA", at positions 338 to 523 of the family's 1533-position model. Lineage: Bacteria; Bacillati; Bacillota; Bacilli; Caryophanales; Bacillaceae. The record is from RNAcentral.